This 219-nucleotide unclassified non-coding RNA is filed under the name Hevea brasiliensis (rubber tree). The record is from RNAcentral. Lineage: Eukaryota; Viridiplantae; Streptophyta; Magnoliopsida; Malpighiales; Euphorbiaceae.
AGAGAUUUGGACUUUCUGCAUCUGUGACUACUGAUGAUGAGGCAAAGAAGAAAGCUCGUCUUGCUAGGUUUUCAUCAACAUCAAAGCCAGACCCCCAGGAGGAAGAAAAGAGGAAAGCAAGGGCAAUCAGGUUUUCUAAUCCAACAUCAAACUCUCUCACACAAGUGGAAGGGAAAGGAAAUGUUGAGACGAUUGCAGAUGUUGCAGGCAAGGCUGGAG